CCCUAGAUGUUCUGGGCCGCACGCGCGCUACACUGAACAGUUCAACAAGUCUUAACCUUGGCCGAUAGGUCUGGGUAAUCUUUGAACGCUGUUCGUGAUUGGGAUAGACCUUUGCAAUUAUGGGUCUUCAACGAGGAAUUCCUAGUAAACGCAAGUCAUCAGCUUGCAUUGAUUACGUCCCUGCCCUUUGUACACACCGCCCGUCGCACCUACCGAUUGAAUGGUCCGGUGAAAUCUCGGGACGGCGGCUUGGUCGCUUGCGUCCGACUGCUGAAACUUGAUUAAACCAUAUCAUUUAGAGGAAGGUGAAGUCGUAACA
This 319-nucleotide ribosomal RNA is filed under the name uncultured eukaryote. RNAcentral describes it as "partial 18S ribosomal RNA". It matches the Rfam family "Eukaryotic small subunit ribosomal RNA", at positions 1471 to 1796 of the family's 1831-position model. The record is from RNAcentral.